UAACACAUGCAAGUCGUGCGAGAAAGUAUCUUCGGAUAUGAGUAGAGCGGCGGACGGGUGAGUAACGCGUAGGAAUCUACCUAGUAGAAGGGGAUAGCCCGGGGAAACCCGGAUUAAUACCGUAUACCUCCUUCGGGAGAAAGAAGGCCUCUCUUUGAAGCUUUCGCUAUUAGAUGAGCCUGCGUAAGAUUAGCUUGUUGGUGAGGUAAAGGCUCACCAAGGCGACGAUCUUUAGCUGGUCUGAGAGGACGAUCAGCCACAUUGGGACUGAGACACGGCCCAGACUCCUACGGGAGGCAGCAGUGGGGAAUAUUGGACAAUGGGCGCAAGCCUGAUCCAGCCAUACCGCGUGUGUGAAGAAGGCCUUCGGGUUGUAAAGCACUUUAAGCAGGGAGAAAAAGUUAUAAGUUAAUACCUUAUAACCGUGAUGUUACCUGCAGAAUAAGCACCGGCUAAUUCCGUGCCAGCAGCCGCGGUAAUACGGAAGGUGCAAGCGUUAAUCGGAAUUACUGGGCGUAAAGCGCGCGUAGGUGGUU
RNAcentral lists this ribosomal RNA (536 nucleotides) under uncultured Pseudomonadota bacterium. RNAcentral describes it as "bacterial SSU rRNA". It matches the Rfam family "Bacterial small subunit ribosomal RNA", at positions 49 to 580 of the family's 1533-position model. Lineage: Bacteria; Pseudomonadati; Pseudomonadota. The record is from RNAcentral.